This 500-nucleotide ribosomal RNA is filed under the name uncultured bacterium. RNAcentral describes it as "partial 16S ribosomal RNA". It matches the Rfam family "Bacterial small subunit ribosomal RNA", at positions 28 to 523 of the family's 1533-position model. The record is from RNAcentral.
GAUGAACGCUAGCGGCAGGCUUAAUACAUGCAAGUCGUGGGGCAGCAUGAGUAGCAAUACUUGAUGGCGACCGGCAAACGGGUGCGGAACACGUACACAACCUUCCGAUCAGUGGGGAAUAGCCCAGAGAAAUUUGGAUUAAUACCCCGUAACAUAUAGAGUAGGCAUCUUCUUUAUAUUAUAGCUUCGGCGCUUAUUGAUGGGUGUGCGUCUGAUUAGGUAGUUGGCGGGGUAACGGCCCACCAAGCCUACGAUCAGUAGCUGAUGUGAGAGCAUGAUCAGCCACACGGGCACUGAGACACGGGCCCGACUCCUACGGGAGGCAGCAGUAAGGAAUAUUGGACAAUGGACGAAAGCCUGAUCCAGCCAUGCCGCGUGAAGGAUUAAGGUCCUCUGGAUUGUAAACUUCUUUUAUUUGGGACGAAAAAAGGGAAUUCUUUCCCACUUGACGGUACCAAGUGAAUAAGCACCGGCUAACUCCGUGCCAGCCGCCGCCGUAA